RNAcentral lists this transfer RNA (72 nucleotides) under Camelus bactrianus (Bactrian camel). It matches the Rfam family "tRNA". Rfam says of the family: Transfer RNA (tRNA) molecules are approximately 80 nucleotides in length. Their secondary structure includes four short double-helical elements and three loops (D, anti-codon, and T loops). Further hydrogen bonds mediate the characteristic L-shaped molecular structure. tRNAs have two regions of fundamental functional importance: the anti-codon, which is responsible for specific mRNA codon recognition, and the 3' end, to which the tRNAs corresponding amino acid is attached (by aminoacyl-tRNA synthetases). tRNAs cope with the degeneracy of the genetic code in two manners: having more than one tRNA (with a specific anti-codon) for a particular amino acid; and 'wobble' base-pairing, i.e. permitting non-standard base-pairing at the 3rd anti-codon position. Lineage: Eukaryota; Metazoa; Chordata; Mammalia; Artiodactyla; Camelidae. RNAcentral also lists the same sequence under 3 other names. The record is from Rfam by way of RNAcentral.
GAGGGUGUAGCUCAGUGGUAGAGCUCAUACUUAGCAUGCAAAAAGUCCUGGGUUCAAUCCCCAGAACCUCCA